GCGGCUAUAGCUCAAUUGGAUAGAGCGUCGGACUACGGAUCCGAAGGUUAGGGGUUCGACUCCUCCUGGCCGCACCA
RNAcentral lists this transfer RNA (77 nucleotides) under Deltaproteobacteria bacterium. RNAcentral's name for it is "tRNA-Arg". It matches the Rfam family "tRNA". Rfam says of the family: Transfer RNA (tRNA) molecules are approximately 80 nucleotides in length. Their secondary structure includes four short double-helical elements and three loops (D, anti-codon, and T loops). Lineage: Bacteria; Pseudomonadati; Myxococcota; Myxococcia. The record is from RNAcentral.